This 527-nucleotide ribosomal RNA is filed under the name Phyllopezus przewalskii. Its description in RNAcentral is "Phyllopezus pollicaris przewalskyi partial large subunit ribosomal RNA". It matches the Rfam family "Bacterial large subunit ribosomal RNA", at positions 1909 to 2610 of the family's 2925-position model. The record is from RNAcentral. Lineage: Eukaryota; Metazoa; Chordata; Lepidosauria; Squamata; Phyllodactylidae.
GCAGUGAGCCAACUNUANCGUNCCGCGGUAUCCUAACCGUGCAAAGGUAGCGUAAUCACUUGUCCUCUAAAUAGGGANCUAGUAUGAAUGGUUAAAUGAGGGCCUAACUGUCUCCUUCGGCCAAUCAAUGAAACUGAUCUUCUAGUAAAAAAGCUGGAAUAAACCCACAAGACGAGAAGACCCUGUGGAGCUUUAAACUAAUAUACCAGCUAUAUAAACCCCACUCCAAUAUGGACCAACAACAAAAAGAUGGUGUAAAUUUUAAGUUGGGGCGACUACGGAAUAAAAAAAUCUUCCAUGUACAGGAUAUAACAUCCAUUAAAGACUAACAAGCCAAAAAUACCCCAGAAUGACCCAGUAACACUGAUCACCGAACCAAGUUACCCCAGGGAUAACAGCGCAAUCCUCUUCUAGAGUUCCUAUCGCCAAGAGGGUUUACGACCUCGAUGUUGGAUCAGGACCCCCUGGCGGUGCAGCCGCUGCCAACGGUUCGUUUGUUCAACGAUUAAUGUCCUACGUGAUCGAGU